RNAcentral lists this ribosomal RNA (82 nucleotides) under Bacillus spizizenii. The record is from RNAcentral. Lineage: Bacteria; Bacillati; Bacillota; Bacilli; Caryophanales; Bacillaceae.
CCAUACCGAACACGGAAGUUAAGCUCUUCAGCGCCGAUGGUAGUCGGGGGUUUCCCCCUGUGAGAGUAGGACAUCGCCAGGC